CAAGUGCAUCUCCACAAACUCUAUUUUAUCUUAUUGCCUUAACAGUAACUCCGACAAUAGCUUGACUUGACAGUUUACAUUGAAUCAAGUUCAAAACAUGAGCAGCAAAACCCUAGUUAUGUGGUUCUUUCUGUUUUUCAGCAUCCUCACAUAUUCAGCUUAUGGAAGAACAUGCACUGCAAAUACCGGAAAUCUUAAGACCUCCAAGCCACAAGAGGAACCAAAACCAAUGCACGGUAUGAUCUUGGGAUCAAGCAAACCGUGCAUUAAAAGAAGAGUUCAAGAAUUGCAUGCUGCCCUACAAAGGAGGAUUUCCCGGUUAGGAAAGGCUGCAACUUAUAGAGGACCAACCAACUUAAGGCCACGCAGUGUCCGGAAUGCAUCAAACUCAUAUUCAAUUAAACCACCAUCCUUAUUCUUGGUGGCACUCGGACAUCUUGUUUUUGGAUUGCUUUUAGUUCCUUGCUUCUAUCGAAUUCCUUAGGGAAAUAAUUUAGAUAUAAUAACUUAGAUAAUAUUGAUAUUAUUCUCUAAUUAGAAUUGAAAUUUCAUCUUGAUAACUAGUUAAAAUUAUAUAUAGAACUUAUCUAUAGUUUGUCUAUUUCCUAUUGCGGAAUGUUCAUCUUUUAUACGUUACCCAAAACAUAAGUUAAGCUUUAAACUACUACCACUAAAUUAUUAUUAGCGCACCCUAAACAUAAUAAGGUACACAAUCGUAUAUAUGAUUAGCUAGACAUGUCUGAAAUCUAUGGUACUCUUAGUGAAUCAAAUCCAGAACUCUGCAAUGAGUUAGCAGUGUACUUCUGAAUUUUGAUUUGUAUUGUUAUAUCGAGCACUCCUGCUCUUAGCUUUUAUAUAUUAUAAAUUUUGGAUCA
Molecule: long non-coding RNA, 875 nt
Organism: Cajanus cajan (pigeon pea)
Lineage: Eukaryota; Viridiplantae; Streptophyta; Magnoliopsida; Fabales; Fabaceae
Source: RefSeq, a predicted model, not a curated record